CUCCAGACUCCUACGGGAGGCAGCAGUGAGGAAUAUUGGUCAAUGGGCGAGAGCCUGAACCAGCCAAGUCGCGUGAGGGAAGACGGUCCUAUGGAUUGUAAACCUCUUUUGUCGGGGAGCAAAAAGGCCUCGUGAGGCCACAAGUGAGAGUACCCGAAGAAAAAGCAUCGGCUAACUCCGUGCCAGCAGCCGCGGUAAUACGGAGGAUGCGAGCGUUAUCCGGAUUUAUUGGGUUUAAAGGGUGCGUAGGCGGAGUGGAAAGUCAGGGGUAAAAUUGAGGGGCUCAACCUCUGCGAGCCGUUGAAACUGGUUUUCUUGAGUGAGCGAGAAGUAUGCGGAAUGCGUGGUGUGGCGGUGAAAUGCAUAGAUAUCACGCAGAACUCCGAUUGCGAAGGCAGCAUACCGGCGCUCAACCGACGCUCAUGCACGAAAGUGUGGGUAUCGAACAGGAUUAGAUACCCGCGUAUC
Molecule: ribosomal RNA, 468 nt
Filed under: uncultured bacterium
Lineage: Bacteria
Description: bacterial SSU rRNA
Rfam family: Bacterial small subunit ribosomal RNA
Source: RNAcentral